Molecule: long non-coding RNA, 204 nt
Filed under: Cyanistes caeruleus (blue tit)
Lineage: Eukaryota; Metazoa; Chordata; Aves; Passeriformes; Paridae
Description: lncRNA (ENSCCEG00000006282.1)
Source: RNAcentral
AUGAACAUAAUGAUUAAUAGUAUCAUGGCAGCACUAUUAUUUGGCCAUUGCUGCUGGGCAGGAUGUGACAAGUGUGAUGGCUUGCAAGGCUAUGGUGUACACAGAAGAGUGAUUUCAUUCAAACAAGAAGUUGUUGCUAGGGGCUUGAGAGUGAACUGGACUCUGAAGAGGCACGCGGAGAGAGGCAGCAUCAGGAGAGGAUGA